This 1403-nucleotide ribosomal RNA is filed under the name Extubocellulus spinifer. RNAcentral describes it as "partial Bacterial large subunit ribosomal RNA". It matches the Rfam family "Bacterial large subunit ribosomal RNA", at positions 16 to 1490 of the family's 2925-position model. Lineage: Eukaryota; Bacillariophyta; Thalassiosirophyceae; Cymatosirales; Cymatosiraceae. The record is from RNAcentral.
CGUAUACGGUGGAUGCCUUGGCAGUUAGAGGCGAUGAAGGACGUGUAAGUCUGCGAUAAGCUGUGGAGAGCCGACAAAAUGCUUUGACCCACAGAUUUCCGAAUGGGGAAACCCACCGCUUCGGCGGUAUCUUAUAGUGAAUACAUAGCUAUAAGAAGCGAACGAGGGGAACUGAAACAUCUAAGUACCCUUAGGAAAAGAAAUCAACAGAGAUUCCCCUAGUAGCGGCGAGCGAACGGGGAGCAGCCGAGUAGUAAUGAAGUAGUGGAAUGUGUUGGAAAGCACAGCGAUACAGGGUGAUAGCCCCGUACACGAAGCGUCAUUAUUGCCAUAUUAAGUAGGUCGGGACACGUGUUAUCUUGACUGAAUAUGGGGGGACCAUCCUCCAAGGCUAAAUACUCCUAACUGACCGAUAGUGAACCAGUACCGUGAGGGAAAGGCGAAAAGAACCCCUGUGAGGGGAGUGAAAUAGAACCUGAAACCGUAUACGUACAAGCAGUGGGAGCCCUUCGGGGUGACUGCGUACCUUUUGUAUAAUGGGUCAGCGACUUAUAUUUAGUAGCAAGGUUAACCGAAUAGGGGAGCCGUAGCGAAAGCGAGUGUUAACUGCGCGUUUAGUUGCUAGGUAUAGACCCGAAACCGAGUGAUCUAGCCAUGGGCAGGUUGAAGGUUGAGUAACAUCAACUGGAGGACCGAACCGACUAACUUUGAAAAGUUAGCGGAUGACUUGUGGCUGGGGGUGAAAGGCCAAUCAAACUCGGAGAUAGCUGGUUCUCCCCGAAAGCUAUUUAGGUAGCGCCUCGGACGAAUACCACAGGGGGUAGAGCACUGUUAAGGCUAGGGGGUCAUCCCGACUUACCAACCCUUUGCAAACUCCGAAUACCAAUGAGAACUAUCCGGGAGACACACGGCGGGUGCUAACGUCCGUCGUGGAGAGGGAAACAACCCAGACCGCCAGCUAAGGUCCCUAAAUAUUACUAAGUGGGAAACGAGGUGGGAAGGCUAAGACAGCUAGGAGGUUGGCUUAGAAGCAGCCACCCUUUAAAGAAAGCGUAAUAGCUCACUAGUCGAGUCGGCCUGCGCGGAAGAUGUAACGGGGCUAAGUAAUAUACCGAAGCUGCGGACGCAAAGUUUACUUUGCGUGGUAGGGGAGCGUUGUGUAAGUGGCUGAAGGUGAGCUGAGAGGCGAGCUGGACAUAUCACAAGUGCGAAUGCUGACAUGAGUAACGAUAAGGGGAGUGAAAAACUCCCCCGCCGGAAGACCAAGGUUUCCUGUCCCAUGCUAAUCAGGGCAGGGUAAGUCGGCCCCUAAGGCGAGGCAGAAAUGCGUAGUCGAUGGGAAACGGAUUAAUAUUUCCGUACUUGGUAUAUCAGUGAAGGGGGGACGGAGAAGGUUAUGCAAG